RNAcentral lists this ribosomal RNA (391 nucleotides) under uncultured bacterium. RNAcentral describes it as "bacterial SSU rRNA". It matches the Rfam family "Bacterial small subunit ribosomal RNA", at positions 8 to 425 of the family's 1533-position model. The record is from RNAcentral.
AGAGUUUGAUCCUGGCUCAGAGCGAACGCUGGCGGCAGGCUUAACGCAUGCAAGUCGAGCGGGCGUAGCAAUACGUCAGCGGCAGACGGGUGAGUAACGCGUGGGAACGUACCUUUUGGUUCGGAACAACACAGGGAAACUUGUGCUAAUACCGGAUAAGCCCUUACGGGGAAAGAUUUAUCGCCGAAAGAUCGGCCCGCGUCUGAUUAGCUAGUUGGUGAGGUAAUGGCUCACCAAGGCGACGAUCAGUAGCUGGUCUGAGAGGAUGAUCAGCCACAUUGGGACUGAGACACGGCCCAAACUCCUACGGGAGGCAGCAGUGGGGAAUAUUGGACAAUGGGCGCAAGCCUGAUCCAGCCAUGCCGCGUGAGUGAUGAAGGCCCUAGGGUUG